GGAAGGAUCAUUACAACGUAUCCACGUAUCAACCAACUGUGAACCUCCCAUUCGGAGCAAAACUUAGUGUGUCGUUAAUGACCGAGCUGUAAAGUGGUACUUUCUCAGAUGGAGAGCCGGACCUAAACAGUCUAGCUUCUGAAAGUUCCCGUUCGGUCGUCAGUUCUUCGGAGCUGAGGCGUCCUUUUGCUUUGAAUGCGGUAUAAAUGUCCGUCCAUCUGCGGUCGCCAAUUGUUUUACCCUUUUUCAUUAACCCUUUGUAACUUCUAUUGAACUGAACUAUGUAACAUUGACUGCGGCUGUUCUUGUUGGCUUCGGUCACGAGCAGUAUUCAAACGCGGGCUUGUUAUCACAUAUUACGAAACGCACGAACAACUCUUAACAACGGAUAUCUUGGUUCUCGUAACGAUGAAGAACGCAGCAAAAUGCGAUACGUAAUGCGAAUUGCAGAAUUCAGUGAAUCAUCAAAUCUUUGAACGCAAAUUGCGCUCUCGGGAUAGGCCUGAGAGCACGCCUCUUUGAGCAUCGAUUCUACCACAAGUCGACGACGUCCUUGCAAAAAGGGCGUGCAGUCGGACAUUGAGCUUUGCCAGCCGUUCGCGGCUCAGCUAGCUUUAAAUAGAGCGUGAUGCACAGCGAUCCUACUGUUCUUUGCAGGAGUAUCGGUGACGUGGAUAACUUCACAUUUUGUGAACCUUCCAAUACGUGACCGAAGCUCGUAAACUGCUUGAGCAGCAAGCCGCAAUUGUGCGUCCGAUCGUCACGCAAGUGACAACUCUUUUGAAUUAGAUCUCAAAUGAAGCGAGAAAACCCGCUGAACUUAAGCAUAUCAUUAAGCGGAGGAAAAGAAACUAACAAGGAUGCCCUCAGUAACGGCGAGUGAAGCGGGCAAAGCUCAAACUGAAAAUCGGAGCUCCAUGCGGGGCCUCGAAUUGUAGUCUAUAGACGCGCCAUCAGCGAUGAACCGGGUAUAAAUCUUUUGAAACAAGGUGUCAUAGAGGGUGAGAACCCCGUCUUUGACUCGGAGCUCAUUGCGUACGAUGCGUGUUCAAAGAGUCGAGUUGCUUGGGAUUGCAGCUCUAAGUGGGUGGUAAAUUUCAUCUAAAGCUAAAUAUUGACGAGAGACCGAUAGCGAACAAGUACCGUGAGGGAAAGAUGAAAAGAACUUUGAAAAGAGAGUUAAAAAGUACUUGAAAUUGUUAAGAGGGAAGCACUGGGAACCAGUAUUGCCGGUUGCUGUACUCGCUUGUCUGCGGGCUGGAGGCGGCGUGUCGAGACCGAAAGGCUCGGUUGCGUCGUCAAAGGUUCGUGGGCGGGUUCAGCAGUGACUGGUAGGUCAAAAUCAGUUUGCCUCGCGGGAGAAAGCUAUGCGGAAGGUAGGGCGGAGGAGCAAUCCAAGGCCUGUUAUAGACGUGUAGUGCUACCGUGGGGUGGAUUGAGGAACAAAUGCGCGCCACUAGGUUUCAGUUCCCCGACCCUGGGGUGUGAUCUGCGCUGGAUAGCAAAGCUAUGCACGUGGAGUAGCGCUCUACUGGAAGGGAUGAACUAGAUGCUGUAUUCGAGAUUUUGACGAAAUGGUUUUCAUUGACCCGUCUUGAAACACGGACCAAGGAGUCUAACAUAUAUGCGAGUGUUUGGGUGGCAAACCCUUACGCGCAAUGAAAGUAAAGGCAGCUUGCUGCUGAGGUAGGAACCGUUGCUCUCGGGCAGCGGGGCACUAUCGACCGAUCGUCACUUGUGAUAGAUUUGAGUAUGAGCAUAUCUGUUGGGACCCGAAAGAUGGUGAUCUAUGCCUGAACAGGGCGAAGCCAGGGGAAACUCUGGUGGAGGCUCGUAGCGAUACUGACGUGCAAAUCGUUCGUCUGAUUUGGGUAUAGGGGCGAAAGACUAAUCGAACCAUCUAGUAGCUGGUUCCCUC
RNAcentral lists this unclassified non-coding RNA (1918 nucleotides) under uncultured fungus. Its description in RNAcentral is "sequence contains 18S rRNA gene, ITS1, 5.8S rRNA gene, ITS2, 28S rRNA gene". The stretch from base 788 to 1918 matches the Rfam family "Eukaryotic large subunit ribosomal RNA", at positions 1 to 961 of the family's 3401-position model. Lineage: Eukaryota; Fungi. The record is from RNAcentral.